Long non-coding RNA from Harpia harpyja (harpy eagle), 1430 nucleotides. RefSeq lists it as uncharacterized. The record is from RefSeq and is a predicted model, not a curated record. The transcript has 4 exons. NCBI's taxonomy places the organism in Eukaryota, Metazoa, Chordata, Aves, Accipitriformes, Accipitridae.
GUCUGCGGAAGCCCCUGCGGAAGGAGGGGCUCCGGCCAGGGUCGAGCUGCGGUAAUAACGGUCACUGCUGCCUCUUUCCCUCUCCCAGAGGCCACGCUGUGGGUGCGGUUGUCCGUUCGUCCCCUGGGGAUGCCGUUGACUGCAGCAGCCUCAGGCUUGCGUGGGCUGUCUCUGCCUGGCCUCCCUCUCCUCGCGGCGCGGGAGCGCAGAGGGACAGGCGGAGCGCUUACUGGCUGUGGGCAGGAGCUGCGGAAGCUGGAGAGGCCACAGAAAGGUAAAGAAGAAGCAGCGGAAGGCCGUCUGGCUGGCAGCUGCCUCCCGCUGCAGGCAAGAGAGAGCCUGCCUCUCCGGGUGUGGGAGCAUCCCUCCUCGUAGUCCGCAGCAGGUCAGACCGCCAGGGUCUGUAUGCACGACCAGCAGCGGGGUACUGCCACGUAGCGAGCGAGCGAGGCUACGUGUCUAGGAGGCCUCAUCUCGUAAGAGCUGUGAGACGCUCGCGUGUUCCGUUACGUGGAGGACAGCCAAGCGACGGGAGUUCCAGAAGAGGAAGGGAGGAGAGAAGGAGAAAGAAGCGUCUGAGCUGGCAAGGUCUCCUGGCAGCUCCAAGAGCGAGAGCUGUGGUGGACGUCAGCUGCCACCAUUUCACCGUGGUUGCCCUUUCUUCUGCAGUGAAAGUACAAGACAGAUGGAAAGAUUCCGUAGUGGUCUGCAAGUACAAGGUUUUCCCAGGAAGCAUCAGCAGCCUUGUAACUAGUGACAGUGAGUCCUGAGGUGGUUUUGCUUUAUUCACCAAACAAGCAAGAUGCAAAGCAGCAGCAGCAGCGCAAGGGCUGUAGCUGUUGCGGUGGAUCCGUAAGCAUAGAUUCUGAUUGCAUACGACCUCGUCCCGCAGCCUCCCAGGGUUAUCUCCCUGCAGCAGUGCUGUAAGGAAGGGAGGAGACGUUUUCCAACACCGGCAAGAGUGUUUACUUGUAUGCUAAGAAGGUGUUCAAAAUGGCAUCAAUUAGCCUAAAUGCUGAUUUUAAGCGUUCAAAUCGCUCUUAACUUUUAAAGGAGCUGGUGUAUUUCGAGCUGACCUGUUUACCUGGAAUCCUCCUUUAGCUCAGCGACUCUUCUUGUGCACCCCCAGCCUCCGCUGGCAGGGUGGUAUGAGAAGCUGGAAGGUCCUUGACUUAGUAUAAACACUGCUUAGCAACAACUAAAGCGUCGGUGUGUUGUCAACAUUGUUCUCAUCCUAAAUCCAAAAUGGCCCUGUACUAGCUACUCAGAAGAAAAUUAACUUUAUUCCAGCCGAAACCAGGACAACCCCAAACCCCCUGAUUCUGGGUCUGCAACGGAAAACACCGAACGAAUUUGGGACUCCUGGGAAAGCCAAAUCCACCUGGAUUUGUGCAGCUGGAAAGCAAAAAAACCCACCCCAUUUUCACGCA